This 75-nucleotide transfer RNA is filed under the name Aeromonas sp. MrichA-1. RNAcentral describes it as "tRNA-Glu". It matches the Rfam family "tRNA". From Rfam's summary of the family: Transfer RNA (tRNA) molecules are approximately 80 nucleotides in length. Their secondary structure includes four short double-helical elements and three loops (D, anti-codon, and T loops). Lineage: Bacteria; Pseudomonadati; Pseudomonadota; Gammaproteobacteria; Aeromonadales; Aeromonadaceae. The record is from RNAcentral.
GCUCUGUUCGACUAUCGGCUAGGUCGUUGCCCUUUCAAGGCAGAGAGACGGGUUCGACUCCCGUACAGAGCACCA